This 467-nucleotide long non-coding RNA is filed under the name Pelobates cultripes (western spadefoot toad). Lineage: Eukaryota; Metazoa; Chordata; Amphibia; Anura; Pelobatidae. The record is from RNAcentral.
GCUUAAUGAAGCAGUUUUGGUGUAUAGAACAUGCCCCUGCGGCCUCACUGCUCAAUCCUCUGCCAUUUAGGAGUUAAAUGCAUUUGUUUAUGAACCCUAGUCACACCUCCCUGCAUGUGACUUGCACAGCCUUCCAUAAACACUUCCUGUAAAGAGAGCCCUAUUUAGGCUUUCUUUUUUGCAAGUUCUGUUUAAUUAAGAUUUUCUUAUCCCCUGCUAUGUUAAUAGCUUGCUAGACCCUGCAAGAGCCUCCUGUAUAUGAUUAAAGUUCAAUUUAGAGAUUGAGAUACAAUUAUUUAAGGUAAAUUACAUCUGUUUGAAAGUGAAACCAGUUUUUUUUUCAUGCAGGCUCUGUCAGUCAUAGCCAGGGGAGGUGUGGCUAGGGCUGCAUAAACAGAAAAAAAGUGAUUUAACUCCUAAAUGACAGUGAAUUGAGCAGUGAAAUUGCAGGGGAAUGAUCUAUACAC